RNAcentral lists this ribosomal RNA (2892 nucleotides) under Thermoproteota archaeon. Its description in RNAcentral is "23S ribosomal RNA". It matches the Rfam family "Archaeal large subunit ribosomal RNA". The record is from RNAcentral. Lineage: Archaea; Thermoproteati; Thermoproteota.
AGUUAUGUUGCUACAAACCAGAUGGGGGAUCGCUCGGCUCGGGAGCCGAUGAAGGUCGUGCCAAGCCGCGAUAUUACCUCGGGUAGGCGCAAGGAGCCGAUGAACCGAGGAUUGCCGAAUGGGACCUCCUUACCGCAAGGUAAUUCGCAUUAUGCGAAAGGGUACCUGCCGAAUUGAAGCAUCUUAGUAGGCAGAGGAAAAGAAAUCAAACGAGAUUCCGUGAGUAAAGGCGAUCGAAAACGGAACAGGGCAAGCCGAAUCCGUGCGGGUCAACCGCAUGGAGAUGUGGGGCCUGGGUCCACCCGACCGUCCAGACAUGAAGUCCCUUGGAACAGGGCGCCGUAGAGGGUGAUAGCCCCGUAGUUGAAGUGACGAGGGUGAUGCCAGAGCAAAGAGUAGGGCGGAUUGGAAAUUCCGUCUGAAGACCGGGGGCAUGAACCCCGAACCCUAAACACUCCCCGAGACCGAUAGCAAAGUAGUAGCGUGAGUGAAAGCUGAAAAGCACCCCUGACGGGAGGUGAAAAGACGUGAAACCAUCUGGUGACAGACUGUACGGGCGUGAAAGCAACGAAGCCCCAAAAGGGUGGAGCAGCGUCCGUGCGUCCGAUUCGAAAAUUGGUCCAUGGAGUUCUUGGUGUUGGCAAGGCUAAGGGGUACACCCCCGGAGCCGAAGGGAAACCGAUUGUGCGCAGUUUACGAGGCACAUGGUGCGCUCGCCAUCAGUCAGCAUCUGGAUACCCGAAACCAGCCGAUCUAUGCCUGGGCAGGGUGAAGCGCCGGGAAACUGGCGUGGAGGCCCGAAGCCGUAAUGAUGUGCAAAUCUUUGGUGUGACCUGGGUAUAGGGGUGAAAGUCCAAUCGAGACUGGAAAUAGCUGGUUCCGUCCGAAACUACUCGCAGGUAGAUCUCGGCAGAGACGGAUCGCGGGGUAGAGCACCAAUUCUGGGCUUAGGUCCCGAAAGGGAUCGGCUUGGUAUUGAACUCCGAAUCUGCGGUCGUCGUAGAAGCCGGGUAGUGAGGCAUACUGGGGUAAUCUUGUAUGUCAUCAGGAGAACAAUCCCACGAGCAGUUAAGGUCCCAAAGUGUACGCUAAGUGUCAAAGACAAAGGGUGUCCGCGGCCUGAGACAACCAGGAUGUGAGCUUAGAAGCAGCUACCGUUCAAAGAGUUCGUAACAGAUCACUGGUCAAGGUCGUGGGCCCCGAAAAUGGACGGGGCUCAAGCGUAUCACCGAUACUGUUCCCCACGGAAACGUGAUGGGGUAGGACGGCGCAUUGCGUGGGUCGAAGCAGGGCCGUGAGGUCCUGUGGACCGCGUUGUGACGAGAAUCAUGGAAAGAGUAGCAGCAAAGUGUGGUGAGAAUCCACACCGCCGAUUGUGAUAAGGGUUCCUCGACGAUGCUCGUCAGUCGAGGGUUAGUCGGUCCUAAGGUGGCCCUUAACCGGAUCCAUCGAAUGGGAAGCUGGUUAAUAUUCCAGCACCGACCCGCAACAAGGGACGCAUCCGGAUAUUUCUGGCACGGCCGUCGCCGUGUGCAAGCGUACUAAGCUGGGGAAACACCGUAAUGGUUAGAACCCGGCCAAAUCGUGACGCUUCCCCCGUACGGGGGAUCAGAAGGAUUCCAGGUGCCCGUGAAAACCGCGGUGUCGUCCGUACCGAGUACUGACACAGGUAUCACAGGCUGAGAAGGCCAAGGCGUAGCGAGUGAAUUACGGCAAGGGAACUCGGCAAAUUCGCCCCGUAACUUCGGGAUAAGGGGUGCCAGCCCAGCAGUGGGCUGGUCGCAGUGACUAGGGAGCUCCGACUGUUUAACAAAAACACAGACAACCGCAAGUGCGAAAGCAUGUGUAUGGUUGUUGAGUCCUGCCCAGUGACGGUAUCUGAAACCCGGUUCCAACCGGACGAAGGACCGUUAAACGGCGGGGGUAACUAUGACCCUCUUAAGGUAGCGUAAUACCUUGUCGCUUAAUUGGCGACUUGCAUGAAUGGCUAAACGAGAGCUCUACUGUCCCUGCCGUGAACUCGGUGAAAUUGACUUUACUGGCGCACAGUCCAGUACAUCCUAGAAGGAAGCGAAGACCCCGUUGAGCUUUACUGCAGCCUGUCGUUGUCGCACGAAACUUGUUGUGUAGGGUAGCUGGGACCCGUCGAAGUCUGGCCGCUAGGUCAGAUGGAGGGGACGAUGAAACACCAGCCUACUCGUUUCGUGCAUCUAACUCGCUUGCGAGGACACCGAUAGGUGGGCAGUUUGGGUGGGGCGCCACACGCUCGAAAAGGUAUCGAACGUGCCCAAUGGUCAGCUCAGGGAGGUCAGAAAUCUCCCGCAGACUGCAAGGGGAAAAGCUGGCUUUACACGGAUUAGCCCAACAACAAUCCGUGUUGCGAAAGCAGGGCCUAGCGAACCACUCAUUGUUUCUUCAUGAGACAGAGUGAUAUCAGAAAAGUUACCACGGGGAUAACUGAGUUGUCUCCAGCAAGAGCCCACAUCGACCUGGAGGCUUGCUACUUCGAUGUCGUCUCUCCCCAACCUGGCGGUGCAGCAGCUGCCAAGGGUGGGGUUGUUCGCCCAUUAAAGGGGAUCGUGAGAUGGGUUCAGACCGUCGUGAGACAGGUUUGUUGCUAACUUCUAGGAUCGCAGUCGCCUGAGACGAAAGGGCCCCUAGUACGAGAGGAACAGGGCCUUGCAGCCACUAGUUUACCAGUUGUCCGACAGGGCACCGCUGGGCAGCCACGCUGUAAGGGAUAAACGCUGAAAGCAUCUAAGCGUGAAACCCGCGUCGAGACGAGGCGACUUAGGACUCCCGUAGAAGACGGGUUUGAUCGGAGGGGGGUGUACGCACCGAGGCAACGAGGUGUUCAGCCCGCCCUUACGAAACGUCCAUCCUAACACUUUU